Molecule: long non-coding RNA, 5646 nt
Filed under: Brassica napus (rape)
Lineage: Eukaryota; Viridiplantae; Streptophyta; Magnoliopsida; Brassicales; Brassicaceae
Description: long non-coding RNA (BNAP_LNC011860)
Source: RNAcentral
AGAUUGUAACCCGCGAGAGGCGAAAAUCCAGAGUUUGGAUGGCCACUCAAAUGGUGGUGGGAUAGAGUCCUGCCACCAUCCAGUCUCCCGUACAAUCCACCGGAGCCGGCGCCGCUGCUAGCAGCUUCCAUUGACGUGAAGCUCAAGGUAGGGUUUCUAGCAGUCUCUUGUAUCAAUGCAUCACAGAAAGCCCUGUGUGUAAUGUAACUAUCGCGUCUGGAAAAGAAAAAGCCCAAACAUUUUUUAGCUUAUUGGAUUAUAUAUAUGUAUAUGUAUUUUGCAAACUAUAUAUUAUGUAAAUGUUGCAUAAUCAUCAUUAAUGAAUGCUAUAGUUAUAAUGGCUACCAUUUAUAGGAGAGAAUGAUAGAAGAAUAUAAAGGUCGAGUUAAUUGCUACUUUAAUGAAAGACCUUCUUCAUUUAAUAUGUUGCAUAUGUUGACGUGAAUCAUCAUCAAUGAAUGCUAUAGUUAUUAAUUAUGGUUACUAUUUAUAUAUAGGAGAGAAUAUUAGAAGAACAUAAAGCUCGAGUCACUUGCUACUUUAAUGAAAGACCUUCUUCAUUUAAUGCAAAGCCCAUGAAUGUUAAUAUAAGUCAGUCACAUUCUACAACAACGUAUUUAACUCAAACCAUGAAAAUAAAGAAAGAAACCCUAGAACAGCAUUAAAGUGUUUAGCAGAACACUAUAAUGAAAUAAGUAACGCACUUUAACCAAACAUAUAUGUAUCUAUGUAUGCAUGUGUCUAGAGAGAGAAAGAGAUAAGACAGGGUCCACAAAAGAAGAGGAGUUUCAUAAAAAGGGGAACCUGCAAAAGUGAAGAAGAAGAAAACAAAAGUGGAAAAUGAAAAAACAGAUCUAACUCAUACAUGUGACCAAAUUUAGCAUCUUUUAAAUUUUCUCUCUUUCUCUUCACUGUGUUUCUCUAUUCAGUACUCAUCAACAACCAAACAAAUACAGUGAUAGAUCCUAUGUACAUAAUCACAAUAUACAUUUUAUGGGCGAUGUACUCGAGGUUCAAAUUCCAUGGCCAAAAAUAUAUACGAUUUCAGUUACAGUUCAUAUUAUAUAUUUGGUAUAUUUCAUGUAAAAUUAGUAAAAAAUGUAAGUUUUAUAUGCAGUGUUGAAUGCAGCUUUUUACUUAAAAUAGAUUUUCAAUACCAAAAGAAAUGAUGGUCCAUGGUAUCAUACUUUACCUAGAUUAUCUAGAUACUACAGACAUAUAUAUUAUAUAUACGUUUCAUCACUUAAUUAGCCCAAAUACGAACAAAUUAUUUAAAUGAAAUGGACAGAUACUAGUUACCUAGAGAAGAUGGUACCACAGUCACAUCGAUACUCUUUAGUACCACAGGUCUUAGAGUGAGCUUUCCAAUCCGAUUGAACAGCGUAACGCUUAGAACAUUUAUCGCACUUCCACUUCUUUUCUCCAUGUUUACGGUAAUAGUGCUUCUUAAUUCCGGUGAGGUCUCCGAGAGCACGUGAGGGGUCAUGGUGGACGCACGUGGGUUCCGGACAAAGAUAGACUUUCCUCUUUACUUCUUUGGUUGACUUCUGUUUGAGUUUCCAUGGGAGAUUGUGUCCUCUUCGGUGAAGCUGUAGGUUUUGUUCUCUUUGAAACCCUUUCUUGCAUACAUCGCAUAUGAACCUGUUUGUAGCCAUUAUUGUCUUUGGAGAUAAAGCUACCACUUCCGCAUCAGGAUCUAUUUGAUAAAUUAAAUUUAGUCACCAUUCAAGAUCUUGCAAUGUUAAUCUAUGAGGAGUAAAUCAAGAAAUUGAUAAAAGAAAAAAACGGUAAAGAACAAAGUACAAACUACAAAACUUUCAAAGUUCAAGAUAAAAUAUCACAAUGAAUCAAUAAGAAUCAACAGCAAGAAUAACAUAAUCACAUAUAGCGACAAAGCAAGCCAGAGCAAGGCACGACAAGAAGAUAGCACAUGAGAAAAAGAUCAAGCAAGGCACAACAAGAACAACAUAAUCACUUCAAGAUCAAGUCAAAGUCGAACAAAAAUCAUGUCGAACUUGAACAAAAAACAUAAACAAACUCGAACAAAAAAGAUGAAUAGAACACAAUUUCGAACAACAAACAACAAGAAUAAACUCGAACAACAAACACAUCAAGAUCAAGUUAAACGCAAAAAAAAAAAAAAAUCUCAAAAAAUUAGAGAUUUGGGUUAUUCGAGAUCGAUUUCUAGACGCCUCUGGUGGAGGAGAAUACUUUCAGUUUGAUAUCUGCGUGAUUUUUGGAUUUAUGGUUAAUAAAUCCAAUUUUACUUUCUCAAUCGUCGAGAUAUUCAGGGGAAUAGAAACAUUGAAGUAUACAAGGGAAAGUGUGAAGUGGGGCAUCGGGUUUCAAGAGUCAUUAAGUCUAAUAAUUUUCCAGAAAUACCCGCUCGGGUCCCGGGCUGGUUAUAGACCCAAAUCUGCUACUCACAGGUCCCUCAUCGUUAAUUAGACCCAAUAGAGUAAAAUUCUCGGUUCCGGUUUUGGACCUGAACCUGCAUUUUUGGUUCGGUUCUGAAUCGGGUCCUCGGAUCCGAGUAAAAUGCCCAGGCUUAAUGAGAGAUUUCACAAUCCGAAUUCAGACAGAAAUUUAGUUUCAAAAAUUUAAAACUCACCAUCUAUAUCCAAACAUAGACUUCUAAAUUUUACUUUUUUGUACUUAUUUCAAAUCAAAUCAGAUGAUAGAUGAUGCCAGAUUAUGAUUUCAUGAUAUAUAGUAGGAAUGUCUAAUCAACAAAUAAAUCAUCAUUUAAAGCGAUUCCCUUGUUACAUAUACAAAAUAUAUGUCACUGAUUUUUGAAAUUCACUACACCCGCAAUCAAUGUUUUAAAUAUUUCAGUAAACUUAUAUGCGGAUUUGGAAUAACCAACCAAAUGGCCAAAUGGUUCAAAAGAUAUAGAUCUAGUUUAUACAUAUAUAGAAAUCAUUAGUUAUUAAUUAUAAUACAUGAUAAUGAAUAAUACGGAGAUAUUGGAUGCUUCUGUUUGGACUAUACUUUAUAUUGGAAUAUAACCGCUACGAUUGGCGUAUUAUUAUUCACGUCGAAUAUGCUCAUAUAUUUUCCAUGUGCAACGUGGGAUGUGUAAUCUAGUUUAUAAAUCAAAUCUAGUAUUUAUACAUCGUAAGUAUGCAUUUGUAUAAUAUUCAGACACUAACAAAUAUUUUUCUUCGUUUUUUAGUAUACUAGAUCCUAACCCGUUUUAGGGAGAAACAAAUUUAUAAACGUAAAAGUCUGAAUGUUAUUACAUAUUUUUUUCGGUGUAAAUAAUUUUAUUAUAUAUAUUAUUAUUUAAAUAAAUUUUAAGUUAAUUUGUAUAUAGUGGAAUUUAUUUAUAUGAGAUACUAUAAUAAUGAACAAGACAUACAUAAUCAUAGGUUGAAUUUCUCAUUUAUUAAUAUUAUUUUAAAUAUAAAAAUGAUCUUAUAUAGAGUGUACUUUGACUUCCAUUUACAAGUUUAUAAAUUAUAUAAUAUUUAUGUAAUAUACUAGCUAAUAUAAUACAUAUAUUUUAACAUCCGUUAUAUUUUAAAAUUUAUCAUAAUUAGAUGUGGAGGUUUUAUCUGUUUAUGGGGUUGUGUUAUUUUAUUUUAUAUGAUUUUAGUAUAUCUUUUUAUCAAAACGAAGUUAGUAUACAUUUUGAAUAUUCUAAGUAAGUAAUCUAGAGUACAUAUAUGGUUAUGGAACUAGCCGUAUUUAAAAGUUUGUAUUUAUUUUAUGGAUUUUGAAAACCAAAGAAUCAAUAUAGAAAGUUGGUACGUAACAUGGUUAGAUUCUAAUAUAUAUAUAUAUAAAUAUAAGUGUAGAAAUGUAUCAAUUGAUUUACAAAUUUAUUUCAAGAAAACUAUCUAAUAUAGUCUAAAAUAUGCAAUUUUUUUUCUUGAAUAUCAUAUUAAAAAUAGGGAAAAAUAUUAAUUAUAAACUUAAAAAAGAAACUUUUUCAAUAAGUUUUGAACUAUUACCUUCUGAACGAAUGUGUACUUUGAAAAUGUGAGAGCUGUGAGGAUCCGUGUUGAGAUUUCAUGGUUAUCACGUUCAGAACCUAUAAGGUUUUGGGCAAAAAAAAAAACCUAUAAAGGUAAUUCACAAGAACGUUAAUUUAAAUAUCCACAUAUGAAUUAUACGAUUUUUUGGCCAAAAUAACUUCUUUUUUGGCCAAAUAACUUGUUCAUAUUAAAAUUCUUUGAAGUUUGUACCAACUUUUCUCCAAAUAACCGCAUCAUACCUCUUCAUCCAUUCCGUUUAACCCACUUUUUUAUAAAAUAUUGUUUGUCAAAAUGCAGAAUAAAAGUUGGCAUAUAAUUAAGAAAGUUGCAGAAGCAAUAAAUUGGCAUAAAAUUAAGCUAAUCGUUUAUAUUCAAACCAUAAUAGUUUAUACUAUUCAGUUAUAAACAACAAAUUAAGUAGCAAACUUCUAUAUAACAACUUAACAAAAGACAUAACCUAAUGAUGAGAGUCUCAAACUUAAUAGAGUUCAGUGAAAGAUCUAUUAUAUGUAGACUAUGAUUAUGAAAGCAAGAAAGGAAGAUAGCAAAAUUAUCACCUAACUAGUUAUAGGUGAGUAGGUUACAAUAAUAAGAUAUUUUCAAGAUCUUCCAAAUGGAUGAUUUUGCUCCGAAAACUUCAGUUCACCAACGUCGCCUCCACGACCACGGCCGCGAUUUACAUUUCUAACCAUUCCUCCAACUCCAAGAAAAUCUAACGUUAACUUGUCCGAGCCGCUCAUAUUUCCAUUGUUUCCGAAAUGAACAUCGAAUAUAUUGCCACCGGAUCCGCCGGCACCACCGCCAUUUACUGCGACUAGUGAGUUCAUUAGACCUUGAAGAUUACCGUUAUUAUCGUUCCCCAUAAUCUGCCCUCCUCCAAAAUCAUUACUUGACGAAGAAGCUAAGCCUCUGAAUAAAGCAGAAGGAUCGUUGCUUGUGAUGGAACCCAUUUGAGUAGCUUUCUGAAGCAGUGCCGUGGCUGACACGUUAGAACCCACGUUCAAGCUUUCUUCAGGGUGAUGAACAAGAACGUCGGAGCUAUAUAGAGAAGGAAGACUCGUCUCUGAGUUCUUGAUGUUUUCUUGAAAGAAUCCGAGGUUGAAGAAGCUGUUGUUGGUGCUACUUUUGGAGUUUAUGUUGUUGACCGGAUCAAACUGGUUUAGACCUUGAUGGUUCAUGAAACUCUGAUCGUUGUUGUUCGGUACAGUCAGCAUUCCUUGGCUCGAUUGGAUUAAGAAGUUAGGGUUUGACGUCUGCGGAACAAAGUGUCUGCUAUUUUCAGAAGAUGCAAUGUUUAGAUUGUAACCCGCGAGAGGCGAAAAUCCAGAGUUUGGAUGGCCACUCAAAUGGUGGUGGGAUAGAGUCCUGCCACCAUCCAGUCUCCCGUACAAUCCACCGGAGCCGGCGCCGCUGCUAGCAGCUUCCAUUGACGUGAAGCUCAAGGUAGGGUUUCUAGCAGUCUCUUGUAUCAAUGCAUCACAGAAAGCCCUGUGUGUAAUGUAACUAUCGCGUCUGGAAAAGAAAAAGCCCAAACAUUUUUUAGCUUAUUGGAUUAUAUAUAUGUAUAUGUAUUUUGCAAACUAUAUAUUAUGUAAAUGUUGCAUAAUCAUCAUUAAUGAAUGCUAUAGUUAUAAUGGCUACCAUUUAUAGGAGAGAAUGAUAGAAG